CCGCCUGCAUGCCAGGCAAGCACACUACCGCUUGAGCCACAUUCCCAGCCUGGCCUAAGGUAAUUUUGAACAAUACUUUUCAUCCACCUGUAUUGAUUGUGACCUGCUGAUGAGUACAGGUAUAGAAUUUUCCACUUGUGGAGUCAUCAGCCUUCAGAAAAUGUCACAUUUUGGAGAUGUUUUAGAUUUUGGGAUUAGGAGACUUUAGCUUAUCCUUAUAAAUUCAUCCUGUUGCUAUUUCUGUACUGGAAUCCAAGCUCUGAAGUAGCAAGAAUUUUGUUUUCAUCUUCCUAUCCCCUAGGACAGUACCUGUAUAUUGAAUGGUGAAAUGAAGACAUUCUGAUCAAUAUAUUGUGAAAUUGGUUAUGGCUUACAGUUGUACUCAAGGACGUCCUGUUGCCCGGUGAAAGAAGACUGAAGUCCCAUGGAAGAAGGUGCCUUUUCCUUUACCCAAGGCACUGACCAGCAGCAAACCCAUUUCACCUGCCUUUUUCUAAGUUGCACAAAAGCACUCUAUAUAGUCACUCCAUACUUCCUAUCUUGAUUUUUUUUUAACUGAUAAAACUUUGGCCAUAUUUCUUGCUGAGUCCGGUUUUGCUUUGCUUAAUGUACAUUUGUCCCUCACUGGGUUGGGUAAUAUAAAACUUGUUUGCAUUAAUACCAGACCUAUGUCUUUAAUUCCCAGAUUUCUCUCCAGAAUUGAAGAGGGAUUAGAAAGAAGUAUUUCAGUUCAUAUGUUCAUUAAGGAACCAGGUUGUUCUAAAUAAAAAGUUUUGUGGGGGAAUGUUGGGAUUGAACCUAGGGCCUUAUGUAUUCCAGGCAAGCACUCUACCAGUGAGCUACACCCCCAGCCCACGAGGUUAAUAGUUAGAUAUAAAGCACCAGGGAGACCCUUAUCUGGUCCCUUAAUUGGUCAUUCCUGUGGUUCUAAGUUUGCUAAUUACCUUUCUCCGGUCCUUUUCCCCUCCCCAUUCCUUCUUAAUGAAAACAUGAAUAUUUAAAAUUAGCCAGCAGAAUUCAGUUUAGAUGAUCCCAAAUUUGUCGGCAACAUUUAGAGCAUCAUAAGCAGGAGUCAGCUGAUCGUAUGCCUUCUCUUCAUCAGACCCUCUUGGGGUUUUGAUCUUGGCCAUAUCAAUGUCAUAUUUGAUUCUUCAGUCUGUUAAUCUGGUGUUUGUUGGCCUUGACAUUUAUGAUAAACACCGGUUGUCUUCCAUCUUCUCGCAGGCUCAGUGGUCAGAAGGCACUGGAUGGCACAGUGGUCAAGCUUGUUUCUCUUGGGGGUCACUCUACCAAGCAUACUUGGGCUGUCUCGAGUCGCAGGCGGCAGUGACGGGUCUCUCUGCCCGUGGGUGCCUGGCAGCACUGCCUUUUUAGUCUUUAGUGCCUUUGCUUUGGCCUCACCUUUGGGAAGGGCAAGAGUUUCCUUCUUUACUUUUGGCCCCAUCUUGGUGGAAAGGCCCCAAGUUAGAGCCUUCAAAUCCUCUCCCUUGUCCCACAGUGGGUCCUUAUGUCAGUUCCUCAACUUUAAAGUAGGUAGAACUCAACCAGGAAACUCACUAAAAUGCAGAUCCUGAUUAAGUUUGGAAUGGGCCCCAACUUGAGGCCAACACUGCUGGUCUGGGGACCACCAGUCCCCUAGGGUAGUGGCAGAAAAGGAUCUGGGGACUCCCUAAAGACCCUUCUUACUGGAGGAAAAGGUUACUUCCACUGCUUCUCCGAUAGAUUAUGUGCCCAUGUGGGGAUGAUCUAGAACACUGUACCUAGCAGUCACCAAAUUUUGGUUUUCCAGGAAAUAAGUCUUUACUGCCAUGAUUCUUGAGUUUUCUGGCUUCACAAGAGAGAAAGGUACAGAGGGGAAGGGGAAGAAAGUUCUGUUCAUUAGAGUGCUUAGGGAGGAUUUCCAAAAACUAUGAGAACACCAGGCACUUCCUCUGAGGCAGAAUGACUUUUAAAUAAUCUCAGCUGACAAACUUGUGUAUCUGGAAGCCCUUUACAGAGCUUUGAUACCUGGCAACGUGUGCAUCAUCUCAAAAUGGGAUAUUAGAAUGCUCACUGGCUCAGUGAGUUAUUAUGCUGUCAACAGAAGAAUCAAAUAAAGGCACAACUUCAAAGGAACAAGACUCUAUUGGGACAUCUUGCUUGAGCAGAAGGAAGAUAUACCAUUGUCCAGCUGGCUCAAAGGACAAAGGUGAUUGGCUUUAGUUUUUUUUUUUUCACUCCAUUUGCUAUUAUUUUUGUUAUUUAUUUUUAUGUGGUGCUGAGGAUCAAACCUGUGCCUCACUUGUGCUAGGUGAGCACUCUACCAGUGGGCCAGAACCCCAGCCCAGUGACUGGCUUUUAAGGCAUUUUCAGGUUAGGCAGGGACUUGGUUUAUUGUUCUUUCAAAAAAAAAAAAAAAGUCUUAAAUUAUAGAUGGACACAAUACCUUUAUUUUUUAUGUCUUGAUUGAACCUAGUACCUCAAAUGCUAGGCAAGUGCUCUACCACUGAGCCACAACCAUAGUCUCUUUCUUGAUGUCUCUUAAUCCUAAAGACCCUGUUUCAGGUACCUGGGAUUGAACUCGGGGGCACUCAGCCAUUGAGCCACAUCCCCAGCCCUAUUUUGUAUGGUAUUUAGAGACAGGGUCUCAUCGAGUUGCUAGGCACCUUGCUUGUGCUGAGGUUGGCUUUGAAUUUGCAACCCUCCUGCCUCAGCCUCCCAAGUCGCUUGGAUUAUAGGUGUGUGCCACUGUGCCUGGCAAGACCCUAUUUUUUAUGUGGAUUCCUGGUUGUAUCCAAACUAGUUUUCAUAAAUAUUUGAAGAGUUAAUGUGUUAAACUGCUUUUAUUUUUCUUACCAAGUGGAAGUGUCAUAUGAACAAACACAUAUUACUUUGGGAAGGGGGCAUAAAGAAAUACAAAACAAACUUCUAUAUUUUUAUGACCUUUAUUAAGUACCUAAUAGGACCUAACUUAGGUUUUAAGAAAACAAACAUCAGGACCUACAAAGAAGUUGUAUUUUUUUUUCACAUUACUUCUUCAUUUUUUGGCCAUGAUGGCAAAGGAACCUGGGGUCUCAUGUGCCUUAGCAAUUUAGCAAGGCCUAAGCAGCAUAGCAAGACACUGUCUCAAAUUUACUAAAAUGACUGGGAACACAGCUCAGUGAUAAAGUACCCUGGGUUCAAUCCCCAGUACCAAAAAAAAAAAAGAGAAAAAUUUCCAGUGUGAAAUUGUAAUGGCAGCUGCUUCUAUUUAUUAGUCCCUCUGCAUUAAUUCCUAUGUACACAAUUUAGAAAAAAUAAAUUAUUUCUGUCAUCA
Non-coding RNA from Ictidomys tridecemlineatus (thirteen-lined ground squirrel), 3295 nucleotides. The record is from RefSeq and is a predicted model, not a curated record. NCBI's taxonomy places the organism in Eukaryota, Metazoa, Chordata, Mammalia, Rodentia, Sciuridae.